UGGGGAAUAUUGGACAAUGGGCGCAAGCCUGAUCCAGCCAUGCCGCGUGAGUGAUGAAGGCCCUAGGGUUGUAAAGCUCUUUUGUGCGGGAAGAUAAUGACUGUACCGCAAGAAUAAGCCCCGGCUAACUUCGUGCCAGCAGCCGCGGUAAUACGUAGGGGGCAAGCGUUGUCCGGAUUUACUGGGUGUAAAGGGCGCGCAGGCGGAAUGGAAAGUCAGUGGUGAAAUCCUACAGCUUAACUGUAGAACUGCCUUUGGUACUUUCAUUCUUGAGUUCGGGAGAGAGAGACGGAAUUCCAGGUGUAGCGGUGAAAUACGUAGAUAUCUGGAAGAACACCGGUUUCGAAGGCGGUAUCUUGGUCCGAUACUGACGCUGAGGCGCGAAAGCGUGGGGAGCAAACA
RNAcentral lists this ribosomal RNA (402 nucleotides) under uncultured bacterium. RNAcentral describes it as "bacterial SSU rRNA". It matches the Rfam family "Bacterial small subunit ribosomal RNA", at positions 355 to 774 of the family's 1533-position model. The record is from RNAcentral.